Molecule: ribosomal RNA, 926 nt
Filed under: uncultured Rubrivivax sp.
Lineage: Bacteria; Pseudomonadati; Pseudomonadota; Betaproteobacteria; Burkholderiales; Sphaerotilaceae
Description: bacterial SSU rRNA
Rfam family: Bacterial small subunit ribosomal RNA
Source: RNAcentral
UAUGCAAGUCGAACGGUAACGCGGGGCAACCUGGCGACGAGUGGCGAACGGGUGAGUAACGCAUCGGAACGUGCCUAGUAGUGGGGGAUAGCCCGGCGAAAGCCGGAUUAAUACCGCAUACGACCUACGGGUGAAAGCGGGGGACCGAAAGGCCUCGCGCUAUUGGAGCGGCCGAUGUCAGAUUAGGUAGUUGGUGGGGUAAAGGCCUACCAAGCCUGCGAUCUGUAGCUGGUCUGAGAGGACGACCAGCCACACUGGGACUGAGACACGGCCCAGACUCCUACGGGAGGCAGCAGUGGGGAAUUUUGGACAAUGGGCGCAAGCCUGAUCCAGCCAUGCCGCGUGCGGGAAGAAGGCCUUCGGGUUGUAAACCGCUUUUGUCAGGGAAGAAACGCUUUGGCGUAAUACCCCGAGGUAAUGACGGUACCUGAAGAAUAAGCACCGGCUAACUACGUGCCAGCAGCCGCGGUAAUACGUAGGGUGCAAGCGUUAAUCGGAAUUACUGGGCGUAAAGCGUGCGCAGGCGGUUAUGCAAGACAGAUGUGAAAUCCCCGGGCUUAACCUGGGAACUGCAUUUGUGACUGCAUGGCUAGAGUGCGGCAGAGGGGGAUGGAAUUCCGCGUGUAGCAGUGAAAUGCGUAGAUAUGCGGAGGAACACCGAUGGCGAAGGCAAUCCCCUGGGCCUGCACUGACGCUCAUGCACGAAAGCGUGGGGAGCAAACAGGAUUAGAUACUCUGGUAGUCCACGCCCUAACGAUGUCAACUGGUUGUUGGGAGGGUUCCUUCUCAGUAACGAAGCUAACGCGUGAAGUUGACCGCCUGGGGAGUACGGCCGCAGGUUGAACUCAAAGGAAUUGACGGGGACCGCACAGCGUGGAUGAUGUGUUUAUUCGACGCAACGCGAAAACCUUACCUACCCUUGACAU